This 166-nucleotide non-coding RNA is filed under the name bovine gut metagenome. RNAcentral's name for it is "Lysine riboswitch". It matches the Rfam family "Lysine riboswitch aptamer". From Rfam's summary of the family: Riboswitches are metabolite binding domains within certain messenger RNAs that serve as precision sensors for their corresponding targets. Allosteric rearrangement of mRNA structure is mediated by ligand binding, and this results in modulation of gene expression. The record is from RNAcentral.
AACAUAGAGGAGCGGAUCGGAAAAGUACCCGUCGAGAUGGGCUUAAAUGCUUGACGGCAAAAGGCUGAUUUGCCGAAGUGAUCGCCGCGCGAGCCACGUUGCGGUCGCUGGGCUGUAAGGGAAUACCUUGCGGACUGUCACAAGAAAUUGUGGAGCGCUACGGUUU